CACGCAGCUGGCGGGUCUCUCAUUCAUUUGAGCUCCGUGCGGUCGCUCAGUCCUCGCUGGACCUUUAGUGAACCCCAGGUCCCAGAGCCUAAGCGAAAUCCACUGUGUGAAAACUACUCUUUCAGCUUAACCCAGGGUUUCAACCACAGA
Molecule: long non-coding RNA, 150 nt
Organism: Dama dama (fallow deer)
Lineage: Eukaryota; Metazoa; Chordata; Mammalia; Artiodactyla; Cervidae
Exons: 3
Source: RefSeq, a predicted model, not a curated record